RNAcentral lists this ribosomal RNA (667 nucleotides) under uncultured Scenedesmus. RNAcentral's name for it is "bacterial SSU rRNA". It matches the Rfam family "Bacterial small subunit ribosomal RNA", at positions 99 to 795 of the family's 1533-position model. The record is from RNAcentral. Lineage: Eukaryota; Viridiplantae; Chlorophyta; Chlorophyceae; Sphaeropleales; Scenedesmaceae.
CGGACGGGUGAGUAACGCGUGAGAACUUACCUUUUGGUGGGGGAUAACAGCGGGAAACUGCUGCUAAUACCCCAUAAUGCUGAGGAGCUAAAAGUGAAAACUGCCAAGAGAGAGGCUUGCGUCUGAUUAGCUAGUUGGUGAGGGUAAAGGCCUCCCAAGGCGACGAUCAGUAGCUGGUCUGAGAGGAUGAUCAGCCACACUGGGACUGAGACACGGCCCAGACUCCUACGGGAGGCAGCAGUGGGGAAUUUUCCACAAUGGGCGAAAGCCUGAUGGAGCAAUACCGCGUGAGGGAUGAAGCAUCGUGGUGUGUAAACCUCUUUUCUUAAGGAAGAAUCAAUGACGGUACUUAAGGAAUAAGCACCGGCUAACUCUGUGCCAGCAGCCGCGGUAAUACAGAGGGUGCAAGCGUUGUCCGGAAUGAUUGGGCGUAAAGCAUCUGUAGGUGGUUUCUAAAGUCAACUGUUAAAUCCCAGAGCUCAACUUUGGUCGAGCAGUUGAGUACUUAGGGACUUGAGUACGGUAGGGGUAGAGGGAAUUCCUUGUUUAGCGGUGAAAUGCAUAGAGAUAAGGAAGAACACCAGCGGCGAAGGCGCUCUACUGGGCCGUAACUGACACUGAGAGAUGAAAGUUAGGGGAGCGAAAGGGAUUAGCUACCCCUGUAGUC